This is a long non-coding RNA of Armigeres subalbatus, 700 nucleotides long. RefSeq lists it as uncharacterized. NCBI's taxonomy places the organism in Eukaryota, Metazoa, Arthropoda, Insecta, Diptera, Culicidae. The transcript is spliced from 3 exons. The record is from RefSeq and is a predicted model, not a curated record.
UAGUCCUGUGCAAUUUUGUCGGCAUAAUUCCAAAACAAAUCGAUCAAGCUGUUGUUGUAGUGAAUUGGUGGUUUCAUUUUCACUAAAUCGUCGGUUAUACAAGCUGUAUUGAUUUCUCUUUCGUCUGCUCAAAUCGUGUAAUCACAUUAUUUUGCUGGAUAAAUUCACUUUCGUUCGAGUAUCAACACCGCUGUUUCGCAACGCGUAAACUGCCCUCAUCGCUCAUCGAAAGUAAAUUUGCAAUCGCGAUGCCAAAGCAAUCCGCAAUUGUGUUCAAUAAGACUUACUAACGCCGAAGCCGGGGAGCCACCACCACCGCGAUAUCACUUCAGGAAGCAAACCCAAAGUGUACUAAAGUAAACUACAUCGCAAUUCGCCCAGAGGCUGUCCACGCAUUCCUCUGCGGGGCUCUACAGCAUUCAAUCGGAGGAAUGUCUGGAAAGGAUGGACGAGACAGUAGCGGGUAGGAGAGGCCCACAAAAAACGCGACGUCUACCGAUCGACAGCGUUCCACUGUUCCAGUCAAGGUCGUUGUCUUCAGGGCCUAAGAUUCAGAAAUCUUGUUAUAGCAGAAGAAUAAGACCGCGGACCCAUAAAAAUGUUUUCUCCGCAUGUCCUUCUAAAGGAACUACAAAGUUUUUCGUCUCGAAUUUGCCUUCUAAGCCAUUUUUGUAUUUGUACAUGCAACACAUGUAUGUUU